This 1130-nucleotide ribosomal RNA is filed under the name Vomeridens infuscipinnis. RNAcentral describes it as "partial 16S ribosomal RNA". It matches the Rfam family "Bacterial large subunit ribosomal RNA", at positions 859 to 2607 of the family's 2925-position model. Lineage: Eukaryota; Metazoa; Chordata; Actinopteri; Perciformes; Bathydraconidae. The record is from RNAcentral.
AAGAAAUGAAUAGUAGUUCAGCCUCCCGGAUUCUCCCUUCACCUCAGUGUACACACACCCCUGAUGUCUUAAGAAACCGUGAGAGUUAUUCAAAGGGGGUACAGCCCCUUUGAAACAAGACACAACUUUCCCAGGUGGGUAAAGAUCAUAAUACAUAAGGUAAGUAACUCUCGUGGGCCCGAAAGCAGCCACCCCCUGAAGAAAGCGUCUAAGCUCAGAACAAUCUUACCCCUCCCCCAAUCCUGAUCAUUUAAUCUUAUCCCCCUAAACUUAUUGGGUCGUCCCAUGCCCCCAUGGGAGUGACCAUGCUAAUAUGAGUAAUAAGAAAGCCAAGGCUUUCUCCCCGCACGCAUGUAAAUCGGAAUGGACCCCCCACCGAAUAUUAACGGCCCCAAACACAGAGGGCAGUGGACGAUAAACCAAACAACAAGAAAAUCCCCCAACCGCUUACCGUUAACCCAACACAGGUGUGCCCCUAGGGAAAAACUAAAAGGGGGAGAAGGAACUCGGCAAACACAUAAAGCCUCGCCUGUUUACCAAAAACAUCGCCUCUUGCAAAUAAUGAAUAAGAGGUCCCGCCUGCCCUGUGACUAUUAGUUUAACGGCCGCGGUAUUUUGACCGCGCGAAGGUAGCGCAAUCACUUGUCUCUUAAAUGGAGACCUGUAUGAAUGGCACAACGAGGGCUUAGCUGUCUCCUCCCCUAAGUUAAUGAAAUUGAUCUCCCCGUGCAGAAGCGGGGAUAACUACAUAAGACGAGAAGACCCUAUGAAGCUUUAGACGUAAGGUAGCCCAAACUACAAGGACUCCCCUGAUAAGGGAACAAACCAAAAGGCCCCCUACCCCGAUGUCUUUGGUUGGGGCGACCGCGGGGAAAGAAAAAACCCCCACGUGGAACGGGAGUACAACUCCUUAAACUCAGAGCCACAGCUCUAAGAAACAAAAUUUUUGACCUAAGGAUCCGGCAGUGCCGAUCAACGGACCGAGUUACUCUAGGGAUAACAGCGCAAUCCCCUUUUAGAGACCAUAUCAACAAGGGGGUUUACGACCUCGAUGUUGGAUCAGGACAUCCUAUUGGUGCAGCAGCUAUUAAGGGUUCGUUUGUUCAACGAUUAAAGUCCUACGUGAUCUG